This 382-nucleotide ribosomal RNA is filed under the name uncultured Treponema sp. RNAcentral's name for it is "bacterial SSU rRNA". It matches the Rfam family "Bacterial small subunit ribosomal RNA", at positions 355 to 727 of the family's 1533-position model. The record is from RNAcentral. Lineage: Bacteria; Pseudomonadati; Spirochaetota; Spirochaetia; Treponematales; Treponemataceae.
UGGGGAAGUCUUCCGCAAUGGGCGCAAGCCUGACGGAGCAACGCCGCGUGAGUGAAGAAGGUUUUCGGAUCGUAAAGCUCUGUUGAGAGGGACGAGAGAUAUAAUCAGGAAAUGGGUUAUAGAGGACGGUACCUUUCGAGGAAGCCACGGCUAACUACGUGCCAGCAGCCGCGGUAAUACGUAGGUGGCGAGCGUUGUCCGGAAUUAUUGGGCGUAAAGGGCACGCAGGCGGCUUUGCAAGCUUGGUGUGAAAUCUCAGGGCUCAACCCUGAAACUGCAUUGAGAACUGCAUGGCUAGAGUUAGUGAGGGGAAACCCGGAAUUCCAGGUGUAGGGGUGAAAUCUGUAGAUAUCUGGAAGAACACCAAUGGCGAAGGCAGGUU